Molecule: ribosomal RNA, 758 nt
Filed under: uncultured bacterium
Lineage: Bacteria
Description: bacterial SSU rRNA
Rfam family: Bacterial small subunit ribosomal RNA
Source: RNAcentral
UGCGUUNUGAACUGGGUAGCUAGAGUAUNUCAGAGGGGGGUAGAAUUCCACGUGUAGCAGUGAAAUGCGUAGAGAUGUGGAGGAAUACNGACGGCGAAGGCAGCCCCCUGGGAUAAUACUGACGUUCAUGCUCGAAAGCGUGGGUAGCAAACAGGAUUAGAUACCCUGGUAGUCCACGCCCUAAACGAUGUCGAUUAGCUGUUGGGCAACUUGAUUGCUUAGUAGCGUAGCUAACGCGUGAAAUCGACCGCCUGGGGAGUACGGCCGCAAGAUUAAAACUCAAAGGAAUUGACGGGGACCCGCACAAGCGGUGGAUGAUGUGGAUUAAUUCGAUGCAACGCGAAGAACCUUACCUGGUCCUGACAUGUACGGAAGAACUCAGAGACGAGUUUGUGCCUUCGGGAGCCGUAACACAGGUGCUGCAUGGCUGUCGUCAGCUCGUGUCGUGAGAUGUUGGGUUNNNNNNNNCAACGAGCGCAACCCUUGUCAUUAGUUGCCAUCAUUUAGUUGGGCACUCUAAUGAGACUGCCGGUGACAAACCGGAGGAAGGUGGGGAUGACGUCAAGUCCUCAUGGCCCUUAUGACCAGGGCUUCACACGUCAUACAAUGGUCGGUACAGAGGGUAGCCAAGCCGCGAGGUGGAGCCAAUCCCAGAAAACCGAUCGUAGUCCGGAUUGCACUCUGCAACUCGAGUGCAUGAAGUCGGAAUCGCUAGUAAUCGCAGGUCAGCAUACUGCGGUGAAUACGUUCCCGGGUCU